RNAcentral lists this ribosomal RNA (484 nucleotides) under uncultured bacterium. Its description in RNAcentral is "partial 16S ribosomal RNA". It matches the Rfam family "Bacterial small subunit ribosomal RNA", at positions 30 to 507 of the family's 1533-position model. The record is from RNAcentral.
AUUGAACGCUGGCGGCGUGCCUUACACAUGCAAGUCGAACGGCAGCGCGGACUUCGGUCUGGCGGCGAGUGGCGAACGGGUGAGUAAUACAUCGGAACGUACCCUGUUGUGGGGGAUAACUAGUCGAAAGAUUAGCUAAUACCGCAUACGACCUGAGGGUGAAAGUGGGGGACCGCAAGGCCUCACGCAGCAGGAGCGGCCGAUGUCUGAUUAGCUAGUUGGUGGGGUAAAGGCCCACCAAGGCGACGAUCAGUAGCUGGUCUGAGAGGACGAUCAGCCACACUGGGACUGAGACACGGCCCAGACUCCUACGGGAGGCAGCAGUGGGGAAUUUUGGACAAUGGGGGCAACCCUGAUCCAGCAAUGCCGCGUGUGUGAAGAAGGCCUUCGGGUUGUAAAGCACUUUUGUCCGGAAAGAAAUCGCGCUGGUUAAUACCUGGCGUGGAUGACGGUACCGGAAGAAUAAGCACCGGCUAACUACGUG